This is a non-coding RNA of Lolium perenne, 921 nucleotides long. Lineage: Eukaryota; Viridiplantae; Streptophyta; Magnoliopsida; Poales; Poaceae. The record is from RefSeq and is a predicted model, not a curated record.
AAUCAUUGUUGAGAUAAUCAUUGUUUUCGUACUGGUUUGGAUUUUGAAGCCAAUAUGCAAUAGCAUCUUUCACAGAAUAAAAUUAAUCAAUGCUUAUAUAUUAUAAAAGCUUGUAGAGCUUGAGGGAGGCCCUGUCGUGACUGGUCGGAUGAAUAUUGGGCAUCGUGUUGAAAAUUCUUCCAAGGAAUUAAUAUACAUGGGAUUAUCAGCACAAAGCCAGAGGCUAAUAGUCUGCGAAGCUAAGAAGGUACUUGGCUACGCGGAGGGUGGAAAAUGAAAUAAAAUAGGGAAACUAUAGUCGGAGACUCGGAGUGGUGCACAACAGAAAAUAGAGCAUUAGAACAAUUACUUUGAAGACAUAUUUAAGAACAUCAGGACUCAACCUCUCCUCAAGCUUAUUAGUACAUAUACAAAUACUAAGGAUUCUAUUCAUUUCAUAUGUGAGUAUUGACUUGUGCAAAUCCACACUUUUUUGCUAGCCAACUUUGCUAUUUCACUUGGAAUCAUGUCAUUUUUGUUGUCAGUCCCAUAAUUGUUAUAUGUAUCGGCAUCAAGUUUAGCCCAUUGUACCUACAUGACGCUAUGAGCUUGCAAAUAUAGAUAUGGAUUGUUUUGCCUCUUCUUACUUCCUAAAAUGAAUUGUACAUAAGUUUGACUCUAAGCACUUGUAACAAAAUUCCUAUCUCAUAUGAUUCUGCUUAUACUUGUACAAAAGUCCAGUACCCAUCCAGAAUCUUACGUCAAUCGGUACUCAGUUCAAUUUUUCUCUUUUUUGCUAAUUAUGAUGUAAGUUUCUGAGAGUGUUGUUUGUGAUGCACCGAUUUCAAAUCAAUAAAAGGAGGUAAUCUAUAAUAACCUUGUGAGCAGAGGUAAUUUUAAGUUGAAGAUAUUUUCAUUAGUCAAGUUUGACUUCGCAGGGGC